GAUCCUGGCUUAGGAUGAACGCUGGCGGCGUGCUUAACACAUGCAAGUCGAACGGAGUUUUAAGCGGAAGUUUUCGGAUGGAAGUUUAAGAACUUAGUGGCGGACGGGUGAGUAACGCGUGGGUAACCUGCCUCAUACAGGGGGAUAACAGUUAGAAAUGACUGCUAAGACCGCAUAAUAUAGCGAAACCGCAUGAUUUUUGCUAUCAAAUAUUUAUAGGUAUGAGAUGGGCCCGCGUCUGAUUAGCUAGUUGGUGGGGUAAAAGCCUACCAAGGCGACGAUCAGUAGCCGGCUUGAGAGAGUGACCGGCCACAUUGGGACUGAGACACGGCCCAAACUCCUACGGGAGGCAGCAGUGGGGAAUAUUGGACAAUGGGGGAAACCCUGAUCCAGCGACGCCCGCGUGAGUGAAGAAGUAUUUCGGUAUGUAAAGCUCUAUCAGCAGGGAAGAUAAUGACAGUACCUGACUAAGAAGCCCCGGCUAACUACGUGCCAGCAGCUGC
Molecule: ribosomal RNA, 503 nt
Filed under: uncultured bacterium
Lineage: Bacteria
Description: bacterial SSU rRNA
Rfam family: Bacterial small subunit ribosomal RNA
Source: RNAcentral